Molecule: ribosomal RNA, 253 nt
Filed under: uncultured bacterium
Lineage: Bacteria
Description: partial 16S ribosomal RNA
Rfam family: Bacterial small subunit ribosomal RNA
Source: RNAcentral
UACGAAGGGUGCAAGCGUUACUCGGAAUUACUGGGCGUAAAGGGCGCGUAGGCGGCCUGUUAAGUCGAACGUGAAAUCCCUGGGCUCAACCCAGGAACUGCGUCCGAUACUGGCAGGCUUGAAUCCGGGAGGGGGAUGUGGAAUUCCAGGUGUAGCGGUGAAAUGCGUAGAUAUCUGGAGGAACACCGGUGGCGAAGGCGGCAUCCUGGACCGGUAUUGACGCUGAGGCGCGAAAGCCAGGGGAGCAAACGGG